UUUUAGCCCGGAUUGAAGUGAAAAUCCUUUUUAUUUUUUCUUUAAAAAUAAAAAGAUUGCAACGGAAAGCGGGAAACAGC
RNAcentral lists this small RNA (80 nucleotides) under Flavobacterium urumqiense. RNAcentral's name for it is "Flavo-1 RNA". It matches the Rfam family "Flavo-1 RNA". The record is from RNAcentral. Lineage: Bacteria; Pseudomonadati; Bacteroidota; Flavobacteriia; Flavobacteriales; Flavobacteriaceae.